This 780-nucleotide long non-coding RNA is filed under the name Marmota monax (woodchuck). The record is from RNAcentral. Lineage: Eukaryota; Metazoa; Chordata; Mammalia; Rodentia; Sciuridae.
CAAUCCUCAGUAUCAAGAAAAAAAAGAAAAUGAUACCAUAUGUAAAUAUUCCUACCACAGAAGAUACUCAUUCAAGUCAAUUAAUCUUCAAUUUGCAAAAUGACAAAUAAGAAACAGUAAAUGCAGAACAUAUUUCUUCAGCUUGUAGGAAAUAAUAAGAAAAAGAUUACAAUUUCAAUAAUCUUUUGAGUGAACGAUAACACAAAAGGGUCUUAGAUAUUUGGCAUUUAUUCAUUCACCCAUGCAUAUUACAAAUUUCUUGCUAUUCUAUAUCCCAAGCACCAUGCUAGAUACUAGGAUUAAAAAGAUGUAUAACACAUCUUAUAUAAUCAACUUUUUAAAUGAAUACUCUUAAUAGUUAUUUGCUUAAAAAAUAACAUAUAAUAAUUUUAUGAUAUAAGUAUAAAAAUCUCUCAAAGAUAUACAGCCAAUAGUAAUUAUGAAUUUAGCUGGCUAUUUCCCAAGAGGCUUCCAAUAUUGGGUUACCUGAGUUCCUCACUUGAACUCCUUACAAAUACUGAUAGAUUUUUUGGUUCACUAAAUAUAAUGUAAUAAAUUUUGUUCUACCUGUAAGUCUAACUGUAUGCCUAGAAGUAAAGAUAUCUUACUGUUAGUUAAACCAUGAAGAAAAUGAAUGACAUAACUAUCUUCUUAUAGCUGUAACUCAGAAAACAACAAAAACAGUUUAAUUCUUGUUUCAGGAAGAAUCAAGGAGAUGUGAGCAUGUUCUUAAUGGUACAUACUUAUCCAAUGCAGUGUCAAGAAAUUAUUAUAUAUAUG